Molecule: ribosomal RNA, 253 nt
Filed under: uncultured bacterium
Lineage: Bacteria
Description: partial 16S ribosomal RNA
Rfam family: Bacterial small subunit ribosomal RNA
Source: RNAcentral
GACGAGCUCUCCAAACGUUAUUCGGUAUUACUGGGCUUAAAGAGUUCGUAGGCGGUCUUGUAGGUGAGGUGUGAAAGCCCUCGGCUUAACCGAGGAACUGCGCUUCAAACCGCAAGGCUUGAGGGAGGUAGGGGUAUGCGGAACAGAUGGUGGAGCGGUGAAAUGCGUUGAUAUCAUCUGGAACACCGGUGGCGAAAGCGGCAUACUGGACCUCUUCUGACGCUGAGGAACGAAAGCUAGGGUAGCGAACGGG